UGAAUCCAGACAGCAGGUUCUUUUCAGGUUGAUGGAACCCUUGAAGCAGAGAGUAGAAUUCCUAAAGGAAAAGGCCAGCGGUUGGGUGAAUGGAUCCACGCUCUCCGUAGUGGCUGAAGCUUCACUCAGUAAAAGAGCCGGCUAGGAGGAAAAUGGUCACCCUGGCAGUUGAGGAUUCUUUGCUUAAGAAUAUAAUCUUUUUUGGAAGAAGAAGGGUUCUGAGAAGCCAGGAGAGGCAAGUAAUAUGAAUUCUAGAAGAAACUUUUUGAAGAAGGAAUAAGUCAACAUAUAAUGAAUAAAGAUUAAUGUGUGAAUGUACUCCGUUGGAAA
This 330-nucleotide long non-coding RNA is filed under the name Salvator merianae (Argentine black and white tegu). RNAcentral describes it as "lncRNA (ENSSMRG00000002460.1)". Lineage: Eukaryota; Metazoa; Chordata; Lepidosauria; Squamata; Teiidae. The record is from RNAcentral.